Priapulus caudatus is the source of this 105-nucleotide long non-coding RNA. RefSeq lists it as uncharacterized. Lineage: Eukaryota; Metazoa; Priapulida; Priapulimorpha; Priapulimorphida; Priapulidae. The transcript is spliced from 3 exons. The record is from RefSeq and is a predicted model, not a curated record.
AGUAAGAUGUGGAAGAAAGAAAGGAGAACGGAGCGCAAGUAAGAUGUGGAAGAAAGAUUUGAGGGUGGGUGGCAAGUAGAAAAUGAGAGAAAGAGUGGAGGGUGG